RNAcentral lists this ribosomal RNA (263 nucleotides) under uncultured bacterium. RNAcentral describes it as "partial 16S ribosomal RNA". It matches the Rfam family "Bacterial small subunit ribosomal RNA", at positions 333 to 592 of the family's 1533-position model. The record is from RNAcentral.
CGCUUCCUACGGGGGGCAGCAGUGAGGAAUAUUGGUCAAUGGGCGCGAGCCUGAACCAGCCAAGUCGCGUGAGGGAAGACGGUCCUAUGGAUUGUAAACUUCUUUUGUCAGGGAGCAAUUGGGUCCACGUGUGGGCUUAGCGAGAGUACCUGAAGAAAAAGCAUCGGCUAACUCCGUGCCAGCAGCCGCGGUAAUACGGAGGAUGCGAGCGUUAUCCGGAUUUAUUGGGUUUAAAGGGUGCGUAGGCGGAAUAUCAAGUCAGC